AGGGUAGCGUAGGCGGCUGAUUAAGUCAGCGGUGAAAGGUAGCAGCUUAACUGUUUUACAUGCCGUUGAUACUGGUUAGCUUGAGUUGACAGAAGGCAGAUAGAAUUCCUGGUGUAGCGGUGAAAUGCUUAGAUACCAGGAGGAAUACCGAUUGCGAAGGCAGUCUGCUGCAGUCACACUGACGCUGAGGCUCGAAGGUGCGGGGAUCAAACAGGAUUAGAUACCCCAGU
Molecule: ribosomal RNA, 230 nt
Filed under: uncultured bacterium
Lineage: Bacteria
Description: partial 16S ribosomal RNA
Rfam family: Bacterial small subunit ribosomal RNA
Source: RNAcentral